Molecule: unclassified non-coding RNA, 649 nt
Filed under: Hevea brasiliensis (rubber tree)
Lineage: Eukaryota; Viridiplantae; Streptophyta; Magnoliopsida; Malpighiales; Euphorbiaceae
Source: RNAcentral
AUGAUAUAUCUUCGCGAACCUCAUUCAUUACAUAAGCAGCCACCCAUAUUCCAAUGGAAGCUGAAGAGACAAGAAUUCCUCUCCAAAGGUCUUUGAGUUCAUGAAAUCUGAAUUCCACAUGAUGCACAGCCCCAGCAAAAGCAAUCAAAGCUACAACAUAUAAUGCAUGAAGGCCCAUAACAAUGAUGAUCCACAGCGUCCCCAUGUGGCACCGGUCGUUCAGAGGCUUUUUUAUCUGCAGCAAGAGCUAUCCAUGGCAAGAGAAUCAGCAGAAGAAAAAUAUAGGAUCUAAGUGGUGGCAGACGUCUCUUCACAAAUAUAUAAUAAAGUUGGAAUAUCUGUGUAAUACGGCAGCUCAACAGCAAACCAAAUCCGAGUGGACCUUCAAUCCAGACUGCCCAAAGAUAGCAUGACCUCCACCAAUGUCUCUUUCUGAACUUCAGAAAAUUGAGAGCCAUCACUAUCGACAACAAUAGAUUUAAGCUUGCAAUAACUUGAAUUGCCACUAGCCAAAAGCUACUGCCUUUGGACCUAGGAAUCUUGUGAAUCAUGUAAGGUAAUGUCACUUUCAAUAGAAGUAAGAUCAUGGACAGUAGAGCAGCUGAAAGCGCUACAUAGUCACUUGGGCACCCUCCUUUGCUAGAACAAG